AUCUUUCUUGCUUCAGACACAUCUCGAAACACAGAGCUUCACCGUUUGUCGUUUCGUAAUCUCUCAAUCUCCAGCAAACUCUACAUCUCCCCAUCUUCAAUAACUUUUCAUUAAUGGCCCUGUUUCGUAUCAUCUCCGUUAACCCUUCUUAUAUAAACUUCAUCAUAGAUCGAGGAAAUAUGCAUCUCAAAAAACGGCUCGAUAUGAUUCCUCUACCAGGUUUUCUUUACAGCAUCUCAUCGAAAAUCUCUCUCAGCUUCUCCAGUUGCUCAAACCGGAGCAGUGCAUCUCAUAUCAAGUCAAAGCUUUAUUGAACCGGCGCAGAUUUCAACCCAUCAUUGACAAUGUCCUCCUCCGCUGCUAGCAUGAUAUUGUUGCUCACACAGUCGUCUCCAAUCUCUGCCUUGUCUGAUUUCUCAGUUCAUUGUUUGCUGUAUCAUCCGCUUUUAGGAUUCAAAGACCAUCAAGAAGAAUGGUGAAUUCGUGGGUAUCAUCACCCUCCUCCUAACCUUUUUUUUUUUUAAAUCUGCAAAGUAACAUAUAAUAAAGCUUUAAGGGAUCUUUGACGGAUAUUUGCAUUUCGGGGAAACAAACUUCUGCUUCACAUAAUAAAGCUGAUCACUCCGUGUAAAACCUCGACCGAUGGAGGCGAAGAUCGAGACGUUGAGUUUCACUCUAGAGAAUCAACCUGAGUUUCAGCGAGUUAUCACAUUUAUAUUGAAUGAACACUUUGUCAAGAAAACAAGCCGGGCGGCGACUGAACCAGUGAACCGUUCGAUAUCACCGGAGAGGCAGAUCAAAUAAUGUAGCUCUACCAUCUGCAUCACAAGAGACUUGUGGUAGAUUAGAUGUGGAAGGCAUGGACCUUCAAAGAAACUGAUUACAGUUGUGGUGGCUAACACUAAACCUCAUUUGGGUAUCACCGUGUGUCUACGUCGGUGGUCAUACGAGUCCUCACUGCGGCAGAUCGGCUUCAGAAAGGUCUGGGGCAGAUUGUUAUUCAAGAGGCAGUGGAGAGUGAUUAUGGUGUUGACUCGGCUGUAAGAGUGAGGGUCCAUAUCUGAGUUGUUUCACUCUCUUAGGCCACCAGAGCAACAAUUCAAGGAAUAGAGGUCAAGCGUGAUUAAGGGAAUGGAAACUCUCUUUAGUUGUUGGGCUGAGGGGAUAGAACUGAUACAGUGGAAAGAAACAUAUUUAGGAAGGAGCAAAGUAUCCGCUGUAUUGUCACUUAUGAACUCAUUGCAGGCUCAAACCAAACAUGGAGUGUUGAAACCAUAAUAAGGUUAUUUAAGUCUAUGAUGGAUUCUGAAACUUCUCAAGACUACUGCUUUUUGAGAACACGCUCUACACCAAAGCAAGAAAAGAGGAAGCGGAUUGCAGAGGUGAAGAUGAAAUCAUAAUUACCUUGAGGACAAGGUUUUUCAAGUGGGAAGUAACGAUAAGUUUGGUAAAUUGGCUGUCACGAACAAAAUUUCGAAGCCAAAUUAAAUUUGAAACUUUUAUGCAAGUAACGAGAGUUUUUCUUUUCCGACGGUAACAAGAGUAUUUGUAUUGAAAACUGUAUCAAAAAACAAAUUUUCUUAAUC
Brassica napus (rape) is the source of this 1586-nucleotide long non-coding RNA. RefSeq lists it as uncharacterized. Lineage: Eukaryota; Viridiplantae; Streptophyta; Magnoliopsida; Brassicales; Brassicaceae. The transcript has 4 exons. The record is from RefSeq and is a predicted model, not a curated record.